AUGAUGGUGUGGUCCUGAGGUUCUGAGCUCCCCUCCUCCAGCAGCCCCCUGCAUGGGCCCGGGUCUUGGCCGCUCUGGUGCCAGUGGGCAAGCGUGUCUCAUGGUUGCUCUGACCAUGGCGUGGUCAGCCCGGCCUGGAGCUCUGCCAAUAGGGCAUCUGGGAGACUCACCCUUGUCUGGAGGUUAAUGAUGAGGGCUUCA
This 201-nucleotide long non-coding RNA is filed under the name Homo sapiens (human). RNAcentral's name for it is "HSALNT0255049". The record is from RNAcentral. Lineage: Eukaryota; Metazoa; Chordata; Mammalia; Primates; Hominidae.